This 1505-nucleotide ribosomal RNA is filed under the name Klebsiella pneumoniae. Its description in RNAcentral is "bacterial SSU rRNA". It matches the Rfam family "Bacterial small subunit ribosomal RNA". Lineage: Bacteria; Pseudomonadati; Pseudomonadota; Gammaproteobacteria; Enterobacterales; Enterobacteriaceae. The record is from RNAcentral.
UAGAGUUUGAUCCUGGCUCAGAUUGAACGCUGGCGGCAGGCCUAACACAUGCAAGUCGAGCGGUAGCACAGAGAGCUUGCUCUCGGGUGACGAGCGGCGGACGGGUGAGUAAUGUCUGGGAAACUGCCUGAUGGAGGGGGAUAACUACUGGAAACGGUAGCUAAUACCGCAUAACGUCGCAAGACCAAAGUGGGGGACCUUCGGGCCUCAUGCCAUCAGAUGUGCCCAGAUGGGAUUAGCUAGUAGGUGGGGUAACGGCUCACCUAGGCGACGAUCCCUAGCUGGUCUGAGAGGAUGACCAGCCACACUGGAACUGAGACACGGUCCAGACUCCUACGGGAGGCAGCAGUGGGGAAUAUUGCACAAUGGGCGCAAGCCUGAUGCAGCCAUGCCGCGUGUGUGAAGAAGGCCUUCGGGUUGUAAAGCACUUUCAGCGGGGAGGAAGGCGAUAAGGUUAAUAACCUUGUCGAUUGACGUUACCCGCAGAAGAAGCACCGGCUAACUCCGUGCCAGCAGCCGCGGUAAUACGGAGGGUGCAAGCGUUAAUCGGAAUUACUGGGCGUAAAGCGCACGCAGGCGGUCUGUCAAGUCGGAUGUGAAAUCCCCGGGCUCAACCUGGGAACUGCAUUCGAAACUGGCAGGCUAGAGUCUUGUAGAGGGGGGUAGAAUUCCAGGUGUAGCGGUGAAAUGCGUAGAGAUCUGGAGGAAUACCGGUGGCGAAGGCGGCCCCCUGGACAAAGACUGACGCUCAGGUGCGAAAGCGUGGGGAGCAAACAGGAUUAGAUACCCUGGUAGUCCACGCCGUAAACGAUGUCGAUUUGGAGGUUGUGCCCUUGAGGCGUGGCUUCCGGAGCUAACGCGUUAAAUCGACCGCCUGGGGAGUACGGCCGCAAGGUUAAAACUCAAAUGAAUUGACGGGGGCCCGCACAAGCGGUGGAGCAUGUGGUUUAAUUCGAUGCAACGCGAAGAACCUUACCUGGUCUUGACAUCCACAGAACUUAGCAGAGAUGCUUUGGUGCCUUCGGGAACUGUGAGACAGGUGCUGCAUGGCUGUCGUCAGCUCGUGUUGUGAAAUGUUGGGUUAAGUCCCGCAACGAGCGCAACCCUUAUCCUUUGUUGCCAGCGGUUAGGCCGGGAACUCAAAGGAGACUGCCAGUGAUAAACUGGAGGAAGGUGGGGAUGACGUCAAGUCAUCAUGGCCCUUACGACCAGGGCUACACACGUGCUACAAUGGCAUAUACAAAGAGAAGCGACCUCGCGAGAGCAAGCGGACCUCAUAAAGUAUGUCGUAGUCCGGAUUGGAGUCUGCAACUCGACUCCAUGAAGUCGGAAUUGCUAGUAAUCGUAGAUCAGAAUGCUACGGUGAAUACGUUCCCGGGCCUUGUACACACCGCCCGUCACACCAUGGGAGUGGGUUGCAAAAGAAGUAGGUAGCUUAACCUUCGGGAGGGCGCUUACCACUUUGUGAUUCAUGACUGGGGUGAAGUCGUAACAAGGUAGCCGUA